GGGAGGCGGGCCAGGAGGCGGGUGUUGACGGCCAGGGCGGCCAAUCGGUAGUCGGGGAAGAGGACGGUUUCCCGUUGGCAGGAGGGGCAGGAAAGGAACUUGGACUUGGGACAGGAUUGGUAGAGGAUCUGCAGACAUUUGUGGGUUCGAGUCACGUGACAUCGGGCGGGUUGCGGGUUCGAGUCACGUGACGGGCUUGUAGGUCCCUGGUCCCGGGUUCGAGUCACAUGACAUCGGACGGUUUGCGGGUUCGAGUCACGUGACGGGCUGCCGGAUCGCGGGUUCAAGUCCCAUGACAGGCUCCUGUGUCCCAUGUCCCGGGUUCGAAUCACAUGACGGGCUCCUGUGUCCCGUGUCCCGGGUUCAAAUCACAUGAUGGGCUCCCUGGUCCUGGGUUCAAGUCCCAUGACAGGCUCCUGUGUCCCAUGUCCCGGGUUCAAAUCACAUGAUGAGCUCCCUGGUCCUGGGUUCAAGUCCCAUGACAGGCUCCUGUGUCCUGUGUCCCGGGUUCAAAUCACAUGAUGGGCUCCCUGGUCCUGGGUUCAAGUCCUAUUCCAGGCUCCCGGACUCUGGGUCCGAAUCCCACUCCAGGCUCCCGGGUUCGAAUCACAUGAUGUUCUUCCUGGCUCCGGGUUCGAAUCGACCCGGCGACCCGGGUUCAAGACACAUGACGGGCUCCUGGGCUCCGAAUCCCACUCCUGGGUUCGAAUCACAUGACAGGGUUCCGGGCUCCGGGUUCGAAUCACAUGACAGGGUUCCAGGCUCCAGGUUCAAAUCACAUGAAGGGCUCUGGCUCCAAGUCCCAUGACAGGGCUCUGGGUUCAAGUCCCACUCCGGGUUCCUGGGUCUCGGGUUCAAAUCAAAGGACCCAUGACAAGUCCCACGACAGGCUCCUGUGUCCCGUGUCCUGGGUUCGAAUCACAUGACGGGCUCCCUGGUCCUGGGUUCAAGUCCCAGGACAGGGCUCUGGGACGGAAUCACAUGACGGGGUCCCGGCUCCGGGUUCGACUCCGCGUCACAUGACGACGCAGGCCCCCACCGGCUUCCUCACCCGGCAAUUACACGCCGCCCCGCAAUACUGCCGGAAGCUCUGGGAGCAGCCUCUCUCCGAUUGGCCGGCGCCCCAGGGCGGCGGGUUGCGAUUGGCCGGCUCGGCCGGGGGGAGGCGGGCCAGGAGGCGGGUGUUGACGGCCAGGGCGGCCAAUCGGUAGUCGGGGAAGAGGACCGUUUCCCGUUGGCAGGAGGGGCAGGAAAGGAACUUGGACUUGGGACGCGAUUGGUCGAGGAUCGGCAGGCGGCGCCGGGUUCGAUUCGACGGAGUCCAGUUGGGCGACGGGUUCGAAUCACCUGACGGGCUGCCGGAUCGCGGGUUCAAGUCCCAGGACAGGCUCCUGUGUCCCGUGUCCCGGGUUCAAAUUACAUGAUGGGCUCCCAGAUCGCGGGUUCAAGUCCCAUGACAGGCUCCUGUGUCCCAUGUCCCGGGUUCGAAUCACAUGACAGGCUCCUGUGUCCCGUGUCCCGGGUUCAAAUCACAUGAUGGGCUCCCAGAUCGCGGGUUCAAGUCCCAUGACAGGCUCCUGUGUCCCGUGUCCCGGGUUCAAAUCACAUGAUGGGCUCCCAGAUCGCGGGUUCAAGUCCCAUGACAGGCUCCUGUGUCCCAUGUCCCGGGUUCAAAUCACAUGAUGGGCUCCCUGGUCCUGGGUUCAAGUCCCAUGACAGGCUCCUGUGUCCCAUGUCCCGGGUUCGAAUCACAUGAUGUCGGUGAAGAGGACGCUUUCCCGUUGGCAGGAGGGGCAGGAAAGGAACUUGGACUUGGGACGCGAUUGGUCGAGGAUCGGCAGGCGUUCCUCCCAGGCGGCGCCGGGUUCGAGUCGAGUCGGGCGACGGGUUCGAAUCGCCGGACGGGCUGCCAGAUCGCGGGUUCAAGUCCCAGGACGGGGCGACGGGUGGCGGGUUCGAGUCACGUGACCUCGGACGGGUUGCGGGUUCGAGUCAUGUGACGGGCUGGUAGGUCCCGGGUUCGAGUCACGUGACGGCGCAGGACAUCGGGCGGGUUGCGGGUUCGAGUCACAUGACGGCGCAGGACAUCGGGCGGGUUGCGGGUUCGAGUCACAUGAUAUCGGACGGGUUGCGGGUUCAAGUCAUGUGAUGGGCUGGCAGGUCCCAGGUCCCGGGUUCGAGUCACGUGAUAUCGGACGGGUUGCGGGUUCGAAUCACAUGACGGCGCAGGACAUCAGACGGGUUGCGGGUUCGAGUCACGUGACGGGCUCCCAGAUCGCGGGUUCAAGUCCCAGGACGGGGCGACGGGUGGCGGGUUCGAGUCACAUGACAUCGGACGGGUUGCGGGUUCGAGUCAUGUGAUUUGCUUGUAGGUCCCUGGUCCCGGGUUCGAGUCACAUGACAUCGGGCGGGUUGCGGGUUCGAGUCAUGUGACGGGCUGCCAGAUCACGGGUUCGAGUCCCAGGACGGGGCGACGGGUGGCGGGUUUGAGUCACGUGACAUCGGGCGGGUUGCGGGUUCGAAUCGCAUGACGGCGCAGGACAUCAGACGGGUUGCGGGUUCGAGUCACGUGACGGGCUCCCAGAUCGCGGGUUCAAGUCCCAGGACGGGGCGACGGGUGGCGGGUUCGAGUCACAUGACAUCGGACGGGUUGCGGGUUCGAGUCAUGUGAUUUGCUUGUAGGUCCCGGGUCCCGGGUUCGAGUCACAUGACAUCGGACGGGUUGCGGGUUCGAGUCACGUGACGCGCUUGUAGGUCCCGGGUUCCGGGUUCGAGUCCCAUGACGGCGCACGACAUCGGACAGGUUGCGGGUUCGAGUCACGUGACGGGCUGGCAGGUCCCGGGUUCGAGGGACCGAGGGACGGAAGGCCUGCUUUGUCCAGCGCCGGGUUCGAUUCGACGGAUUCGAUGUCCCGGAGUUGAGUUGGGUGACGGGUUCGAAUCACCUGACGGCACAGGACACAUCGCGGGUUCAAGUCACAUGACGGGUCGCGGGUUCGAAUCCCGUGAGGCGACGACGAAGCCCCGAAUUCGACCGGGUGGGAAUUGGACAGGUCCCAUGUCCCGGGUUCGAGUCCCAGGACGGUGCAGGUGGCGGGUCCUGGGUUCGAGUCCCAGGACGGGGUCCCAUGUCCCGGGUUCAAGACCCUCGACGAAAUGGAGGACGGCAAAUGGGCGAAAUGCGACGGGUCCCGGGUUCAAGACACACGACGGGCUCCCGGGUUCGAGUCCCAUGACGGCCUCCCGGCUCUGGGUCCGAGUCACAUGACGGCGCACGACGAAAUUCGAUGGGUCCCGGGUUCAAGACACACGACGGGCUUACGGGGUCUCGGGUUGCGGGUUCGAAUCACAUGAUGGGCUCCCUGGUCCUGGGUUCAAGUCCCAUGACGGGCUCCCGGGUUGCGGGUUCGAGUCCCCCUCCGGCUUCCGGGUCUCGGGUUCAAAUCAAAGGACCGGCUCCCAGGUCCUGGGUUCAGAGUCCCAGGACCGGGCUCUGGCUCCAAGUCCCAUGACAGGGCUCUGGGUUCAAGUCACAUGACGGCCUCCCGGGCUCCGGGUUCAAAUCCCAUGAAGGGCUCCGAGGUUCAAGUCCCAUUCCAGGCUCCGAAUCCCUCCGGGUUCCUGGGUCUCAGGUUCAAAUCACAUGAUGUUCUUCCGAGCUCCGGGUUCAAAUCACAUGACAGGCUACUGGGCUCCGGGUUCAAAUCCAUGAAGGGCUCCGAGUUCAAGUCCCAUUCCAGGCUCCCGGCUCCGGGUUCGACUCCCACUCCGUCCUCCCGGCUCCGGGUUCGACUCCGCGUCACAUGACGACGCAGGCCCCCACCGGGUUCCUCACCCGGCAAUUACACGCCGCCCCGCAAUACUGCCGGAAGCUCUGGUAGCAGCCUCUCUCCGAUUCGCCGGCGCCCCAGGGCGGCGGGUUGCGAUUGGCCGGCUCGGCCUGGGGGAGGCGGGCCAGGAGGCGGGUGUUGACGGCCAGGGCGGCCAAUCCGUAGUCGGUGAAGAGGACGGUUUCCCGUUGGCAGGAGGGGCAGGAAAUGAACUUGUACUUGGGACAGGAUUGGUAGAGGAUCUGCAGACAUUCUUCGCAGACCGAAUGGAGGCAGGAGAGGAGGCGGGGCCUCUUGUGGGCGGAGUUGUAGGCGUGGCCGCAGGUGGGGCACUCUAGGGAUUCGCCGGGAGGACUGGCGGGGAGGGCGUACUGGUUGGCGAUCACUUCCGCCCCGGUCGCCGGGUAGAAAACGGGGGGCGGGUUCGAGUCGAGGGGCUUGGCCACGCCCUCGUUGGCGAUGACCUCGUGGCCGGGGGGGAACUUCCUGCGGAGCUCGGGGAGCUUCCUGUUGGGGAGGAGGUCGCUGGGGGGGAACUUCCUGUUGGGGAGGAGGUCGUUGGGGGGGGAACUUCCUGUUGGGGAGGACGUCGCUGGCCUCGUUGAACUUCCUGUUGGCCUCGUUGAAGUUCCUGUGGGCGAGGCGGUCGCGGGGGGGGAACUUCCUGUGGGCCUCGUUGAAGUUCCUGUUGGCGAGGAGGUCGCUGGGGGGGAACUUCCUGUUGGGGAGGCCGUCGUUGGCCUCGUUGAACUGCCUGCUGGCGAGCACCUCUUGGCCGGGGGGGAACUUCCUGUUGGCCUCGUUGAAGUUCCUGUUGGCGAGGACGUCGCUGGGGGGGAACUUCCUGUUGGGAAGGAUGUCGUUGGGGAGGACGUCGCUGGGGGGGAACUUCCUGUCGGCGAAGGCGUCGCUGGGGGGGAACUUCCUGUUGGCCUCGUUGAAGUUCCUGUUGGCGAGGAGGAGGUCGUUGGGGGGGAACUUCCUGUUGGGCAGGACGUCGCUGGGGGGGAACUUCCUGUCGGCGAAGGCGUCGUUGUUGGGGAACUUCCUGCCGGCAAGGACGUCGUGGUUGGAGAACUUCCUGCCGACCUCGCUGAACUUCCUGUUGGGCCCCGGAGGCCCCUUGAGGCAGGACAUGAGGAGGGCGGUCACCUGGCUAACGUCGGGAGGCGGGGCAGGAAG
Non-coding RNA from Podarcis lilfordi (Lilford's wall lizard), 5012 nucleotides. The record is from the annotation of a GenBank genome assembly. Lineage: Eukaryota; Metazoa; Chordata; Lepidosauria; Squamata; Lacertidae.